UGGAUACCUUCCAUACAUAUAUUUAUUUAUCAUCUUUCACCCCAUCAGCAAGUUAGUGUGAAAGAUCUUGCUUUUACUGUCUGGAGGCUGAUUUACCAUAGAGGAAACCUAUAUCAUCAAUUGCUAACUGGGGAUUAUAAGAAGAGCUGCAAACAACUAGUGGAAGAAAAAAAGAAUCAAAUACACCAUAUAGAUGAAGAGCAAUCCAUUUAUCUAUACGGAGUAUGA
Long non-coding RNA from Phasianus colchicus (ring-necked pheasant), 228 nucleotides. NCBI's taxonomy places the organism in Eukaryota, Metazoa, Chordata, Aves, Galliformes, Phasianidae. The record is from Ensembl.